UACGAAGGGGGCUAGCGUUGCUCGGAAUCACUGGGCGUAAAGGGUGCGUAGGCGGGUCUUUAAGUCAGGGGUGAAAUCCUGGAGCUCAACUCCAGAACUGCCUUUGAUACUGAAGAUCUUGAGUUCGGGAGAGGUGAGUGGAACUGCGAGUGUAGAGGUGAAAUUCUUAGAUAUGACAUAGAACACCAAUUGCGAAGGCAGCUCGCUACGCGGUUAUUGACACUGAGGCACGAAAGCGUGGGGAUCAAACAGG
Molecule: ribosomal RNA, 253 nt
Filed under: uncultured bacterium
Lineage: Bacteria
Description: partial 16S ribosomal RNA
Rfam family: Bacterial small subunit ribosomal RNA
Source: RNAcentral